UUCUUGAGUGUAAAGUCCAGCAGGUGGAAGGACUAGGCCUGGGACUCCUGGGUCCCCGGCAGUGUCUGGAGGCAUGGCUGGGGCUGGCAGGGGCCUCGGGGUCUGGGGGAACCUGGUGCUGCUGGGCCUGUGCAGCUGGACAGGGGCCAGGGCGCCCGACCCUCCUUCCCAAUUCUCAGCCCCCAACCCAGGGAGGAACCUGACAGUGGAGACUCAGACCACCAGCUCCAUCUCCCUGAGCUGGAAGGCCCCUGAUGGCACAGACUCACAGAACUCCAACUAUUCGGUUCAGUGCACUGGAGAUGGUGGCAGAUCAGAGACUCGAACCACAAGAUACACCGUCAUUGUGUAUGGACUUGGACCCGGGUCAUUGUAUACGUGUUCUGUGUCGGUGGAGAAAGACGGAGUAAAUAGCUCUGUGGGGACUGUCACUGGUGCCACAGCUCCCAACCCAGUGAGGAACCUGAGAGUGGAGGCUCAGACCAACAGCUCCAUCACCCUGACCUGGGAGGCCGAUGGCCCAGACCCACAGAACUCCACCUACUGGGUUGAGUACACUGGAGAUGGUGGCACAGCAGGGACUCGAAGCACAGCAAACACCAACAUCACCGUGGAUGGACUUGAACCCGGGUGUUUGUAUGCGUUUUCCGUGUGGGUGGGGAAGAAUGGAAUCAACAGCUCCCGGGAGACUCGAAAUGCCACCAUAGCCGCCUACCCAGUGAGGAACCUGACAGUGGAGGCUCAGACCACCAGCUCCAUCUCCCUGAGCUGGGAGGUCCCCGAUGGCACAGACUCACAGAACUCCACCUAUUGCGUUCAGUGCACUGGAGAUGGUGGCAGAACAGAGACUCGAAACACAACAGACACCAGAGUCACCGUGGAUGGACUUGGACCCGGGUCAUUGUAUACGUGUUCUGUGUGGGUGGAGAAAGACGGAGUAAAUAGCUCUGUGGAGAUUGUCACUAGUGCCACAGCUCCCAACCCAGUGAGAAACCUGACAGUGGAGGCUCAGACCAACAGCUCCAUCACCCUGACCUGGGAGGCCGAUGGCCCAGACCCACAGAACUCCACCUACUGGGUUGAGUACACUGGAGAUGGUGGCACAGCAGGGACUCGAAGCACAGCAAACACCAACAUCACCGUGGAUAGACUUGAACCCGGGUGUUUGUAUGCGUUUUCCGUGUGGGUGGGGAAGAAUGGAAUCAACAGCUCCCGGGAGACUCGAAAUGCCACCACAGCCCCCAACCCAGUGAGAAACCUCCAUAUGGAGACUCAGACCAACAGCUCCAUCGCCCUGAGCUGGGAAGUCCCUAGUGGCCCAGACCCUCAGGACUACACCUACUGGGUAGAGUACACUGGAGACGGUGGUGGCACAGAGACCCGAAACACAACAAAUAUCAGUGUGACAGCUGAGGGACUUGAGCCCGGAACCUUGUACACAUUCUCUGUAUGGGCAGAAAAAAAUGGAGCACGUGGCUCCAGGCAGAAUGUCAGCUUCUCCACAGUCCCCAACGCAGUGACAAGCCUCAGCAAGCAGGACUGGACCAACAGCACCAUUGCUUUGCGCUGGACAGCUCCCGAGGGCCCAGGCCAGUCUUCCUACAGCUACUGGGUCUCAUGGGUCAGGGAAGGCAUGACUGACCCCAGGACCCAAAGCACCUCAGGUACUGACAUCACCCUAAAGGAACUGGAAGCUGGCAGCCUGUACCACCUCACCGUCUGGGCCGAGAGGAAUGAGGUCAGAGGCUAUAACAGCACCCUCACUGCAGCCACCGCUCCCAAUGAGGUCACAGAUCUCCAGAAUGAAACUCAGACUAAGAACUCAGUCAUGCUGUGGUGGAAGGCCCCUGGAGACCCCCACUCUCAGUUGUACGUAUACUGGGUCCAGUGGGCCAGCAAGGGACAUCCCCAGAGGGGGCAAGAUCCCCAAGCGAAUUGGGUCAACCAGACCAGCAGGACCAAUGAGACGUGGUACAAGGUGGAGGCCCUGGAACCCGGGACGCUGUACAAUUUCACCGUGUGGGCAGAGAGGAAUGACGUAGCCAGUUCCACGCAGAGCCUCUGUGCGUCCACAUACCCAGACGCAGUCACCAUCACUUCCUGUGUCAGCACCUCAGCGGGCUAUGGAGUCAACUUGAUCUGGUCCUGCCCCCAGGGAGGCUACGAGGCCUUUGAGUUGGAGGUGGGAGGACAGCGGGGCUCCCAGGACAGAUCUUCAUGUGGGGAGGCUGUGUCUGUGUUGGGUCUCGGGCCGGCUCGGUCCUACCCAGCCACCAUCACGACCAUCUGGGACGGAAUGAAGGUCGUGUCUCACUCUGUGGUCUGCCACACCGAGAGUGCAGGAUUGCUGAGAAGCUGCAGCUUGGGGGCCUUCAAGGCUGAUGAAGAUGGGCCAUAGGCUUGAGCCUACCCUAAGAUGAGACAUCUAAUGACAGAUCUUGGGAGGACUGUGCCAUCAGAGCCUGAGAGCACCCAUAGACACCACCAGAUCAGCCGGGCACCGUGGCUCACGGCUGUAAUCCCAGCACUUUUGGAGGCCGAGGCGGGCAGAUCACCUGCGGUUGGGAGUUCAAGACCAGCCUGACGAACAUGGAGAAACCCUGUCUCUACUAAAAAUACAAAAAAUU
RNAcentral lists this small RNA (2627 nucleotides) under Pan troglodytes (chimpanzee). RNAcentral's name for it is "processed transcript". The record is from RNAcentral. Lineage: Eukaryota; Metazoa; Chordata; Mammalia; Primates; Hominidae.